CCAACUGAUUUUUGACAAAGGUGCAAAAGCAAUGAAGGAAAGAUGGCCUUUUCAACAAAUGGUACUGGCGCAAUUGGAUAUCAGUAGACCAAAAAAUAAACCCUGACCUAAGUCUCACACACUAAAAUUAAUUCAAAAUGAGUUGCAGUCUUAAAUGUAAAAUGUAAACCCAAAACCUAAACAACAAAAUAGGAGAAAAAUCUUCAGGAUCUAGGGCUAGGCACACAGUUCUCAGACUUGACACCAAAAUCUCAAUCCAAAAAAAAGGAAAAUUUGAUAAAUUGGACUUCAUCGAAGUUAAAAAUGCUUGCUCUAAAAAAAAGGUCCUGUUAAAAGGAUGAAAACACAAGCUAUAGAUAGGGAGAAAACAUUUAUAAACCACAUCUGUGACAAAGGACUAGGAUCUAGGACGUCUAAAGAAUUCUCAAAACUGAACAAUGAAAACAAACAAACAGUUCCAUUAGAAGUGGGCAGAUACCUGAGCAGAGAUCCCACUGAAGAGGCCAGGAGGAUGGUGAAGAGACAUCUGAGAAGAUGCUCAGCAUCACUGAACAUCAGGGAAAUGCAAACGGAAACCCCCGGGAGACAUGAGCACAUACUCAUCACGAUGGCUAAAGUAAGAAACAGCGGUGAGUGUGCAGAAACACCUGGCGAUUCACACCUUGCUGGUGGGAACCUGUGAGGGACCUGAUACAGCAGCCACUCCGGAAAACACCUCGGCAGUUUCUUACGAAACUAAACACGCGAGUCCCAAGCCACCCCGGCGGCCGUAUCCCAGAGAAGCCGGAAGACUUAUGUCCCUGCAAAAACUUGUGCAAUAAUGUCCAUGGCGGCUGUGUCUUUAAUAGCCCCAAACUUGAAAAAGCCCAGAGGUCCCUCAAAGAGUGAGUGGGUGGAAUAUUAUUCAGGCUUAAAGCGGAAGUUCUGACACCUGCUGCCACACGGGGAGCUCUGAGGACGUGCGGAGCGAAGGAGCCAGUCACAGAAGGACAGACACUGUCGGAGCCCGCUCACAGGAGGUCCCUGGCGUCCCUGUCAACUCCAUAGGGACGGGGAGUAGGGUGGGUUGCCAGGGCGGAGGGAGGGAUGGGAAGUGAGUGGGCAAUGGGGACAGAGGCCGUUUGGGAAGAUAAGAAAGUUCCGGAAGUGGAUGGUGGCGGCGACGGUCGCAUAGCAACGUGAACGUGCGCGACGCUGAUGGCCUGAGCACCUAACAAAGGCGUUUCUCCUUGGCCUCCAGGCUGCUGCUUCCGCUCUGUCCCGGGAAGCGCCUUCCCUUCGUGGCCGGACACCCGGUGGCCGGUGCCAGACGCUUGGAAAAAGAAACGUUUAACCUUCUGCUGCACAGCGCCUGGCCCCGACGCGCUGCCCCGCGGAGACAGCGGCCGCCACAGGGACUCUCAAUCGCCCCACUGCUUACCAUUGCACCUCUUCUGCAAAAGGGAAGGAAAAUGGGCCAAAACACCAUCCUAGAUGGCCAGUGGGUGCAACAGCGGUGUCUGUGGCCGACCCGGGUGAGAUGAUAGGUCCUCGGAAGAGAGGCGGGAGAGACGGCACUUUCCAGCGUGCGUCCAGGCUGCCCUCUGGGCCGCCAGCGACAGGCGGUCAGUUAUUCCAAGGUCUCCGCCACCGCCCAGGGGCCGGGGAAAGCCCCCGGCCAUCCUGGAUCAGCUCCGGGAGGCGACAGAGAGAUGCCACUCUCCAUCCCAACUCCCACGAGGCAUUAAAAGACAAAUUCCUGGCCCAAGCAGCGCCAGAUACUAGGAAAAACUCCAGAAGCGUGUGCAGGACCUGCCACCUCCCUGGACCACGAGGUGGCUGCGCCGAUUCUGCUUCUGUGACAGGACUCAGAGCUCCAGUCCCAGGCGCGGGAGACGGAGCGGAGGACGGAGGCUGGGCAGGCCCAGGUGAUGGCAGCGUUGACACCACGUUCGGACCAACCGCCAAAGCCUCCACCAAAGGAAGGGAACUCUGGUGCCACCUCUGCCCACAGGAAGGGCAUUGGGCCACAGACCGCCCCACGUAGGACAGGCCACCGAGGCGCAGGGAUACCUGCUUGGACGCAUCGUUCCUGAAUGAAGCCGUGGAAGGACCACAGUGAGACGCCCCCGGCCCCACAGAGGAGCACGCCCGCACAGGGCAAAUGCUCGCGACUCCCUUGGAGGAUCUCCCGCACCUGUUCCAGCGGACUCCUCCUGCCGUGGCUCCUGCAGGUGAGUGGCACACACUGUCUACCUGUGGGCGGGACACCUUCCCCCUGGCAAACCAGACUGCACAUGCCCUAAGGCUCAACCAACCCUGCGGAGACGGCCGUCCACCCUUUUCUGUUAACAAGUCAGGACAGGUUCAGGACAACCUUGGUGCCGUCCCAGAGUCCAUCUCCAAUCUCCAGGUGCGAGGCCGACCUCUAGGCCCUCGUAGAUGUCCCUGGUAAUUCCCUUGAUCACCCCAUUACUUUGCAUCCUGGGAAUUCUAAUAUUGGGUCUGACCGUCAUAAAUUUUCUAACUAAAUUUCUUUCCUCCCGCCUAGAGGCCAUCAAAUGGUCCUAAAUUCUCUGCCAGCCUCAGCACCUAUCUCCUCAUCACACCUACAACUACAACAACCUACCAAGAACAUAUACCGAGGUCCCCUGGAGAGACCCCCAGAGAACCUGCAUGAAGCCACCCUGGUAAGAAUCACCACCCCCACGCAGCAGGAAGCAGCCAGAUGGGCCAAGGCCCUACCUGGUGAUUUGGGCCUCUAGAAUAAAGUGUGCAGUGUUAGGUAGACAGCAAGGGACCUCCGAGUCUCUCCUAGGAACAAAAGUGGGUGCCUUGCCUUGGUGCUGCCUCGAGCAAUUGCCCCACCUGGGAAGGACAGGGCAGCACCCGUCUUCGUGCCGCCCCCCCUUAAUGCUGCCCAGCAGCGGCCCCGCCUGGGAAGAAGGAGACGCCCCUGCUAAUCUGCAGAACGCACGGAACCCCAGCCUGCAGCCCCGGCACAACAGCAUUUGGAAAGUGACCUGGAGUAACCUAACGCUAAUUAUCACGUCGUUAACUGUCCAUCCAAGUGGUUCCACGGUGACAGUGAUGUCUGAACCACGAGGAGGGCCCAAUCCAGAGAGUAUACAACAGGACCCCAGACCAUAGUCAGGGACCUUCUGCGUCUCCUUUUGUCUUCCUGAGGCAAACCUGUCUUGUCCUUCCUCAAUAAACUUCAUUUCAUGCUUAAAAAAGAAAAACACAAUAAUUAAAUAUGCACAGGACUGGUGCAUGACCGGACAGAUUGAUUAAUGGAACAAAAUAGAAUGCCCAGGGACAGACACAAAUAUGCAUAGAAAUUUAGUAUAUGACGAAGGUGACAUUUCCAAUCAACAGCGAGAAGGCGGAUGUCCAGCAAAUAGUGCCGAGAGAGACGGUUUGAGACCAGUUUGUCUCAAAAUAAAUCCCAGACAAAUGAAAACAAAGUACAAUGUAAGAAGGAGAGACAGGUGGACUUUUUAAAAAAUCUCCAAAUAGGGAAGGCCAUUCCCAGGAAACCAGAAAGAGAAAGAUAGAUUAAACCACAUCAAAAUUCUAAAAUUCUGUAGGAAAAAAUAUCCCACCAUAAACAAAGUAAAAAGACAAAUAGAAAAAUGGCGGAAAGACAGGAAACUAAUAGCUCACAGAGCAAUACACAUUGUUCCUAAACAAAUGCACAGCCGCUGCUCUCAUUUAUCAUUAAAGAUACGUGACUCCAUCUCAAUCUACCGGCGAAGAUUUGUUUACGCCGCUAACGCACGCGCCCACCUGCAGAAGGCAGGCGUCCCGUGGAGGCAGCUGUUGAUGUCCACCCAAACAUGACAGGCCCCAGGACUGAAUCAGGAAGGCUGGGGCGAGAGUCUGAACCCAGGCUGACUCCUGGGCUGAGUCCCUUGGUCAUCUUUCCUGAAACCAAACCCUGUUCACGGUUCUCUGCUCUUGUGAGCAGAUGGCACUCUGGCCCACCCCAAGGGGGACGGAGGUCUGGACCUAGGCUCCCA
This is a non-coding RNA of Microcebus murinus (gray mouse lemur), 4001 nucleotides long. The record is from RefSeq and is a predicted model, not a curated record. Lineage: Eukaryota; Metazoa; Chordata; Mammalia; Primates; Cheirogaleidae.